CCCUUAGAUGUUCUGGGCCGCACGCGCGCUACACUGAUGCAUUCAACGAGUCUAAAACCUGCUCUGAUAGGGGUGGGUAAUCUUUUGAAUGUGCAUCGUGAUUGGGAUAGGUGAUUGCAAUUUUUCAUCUUCAACGAGGAAUGCCUAGUAAACGCAAGUCAUCAGCUUGCAUUGAUUACGUCCCUGCCCUUUGUACACACCGCCCGUCGCUCCUACCGAUUGAAUGAUCCGAUGAAUAUCAUGGAUUGAGGAUGCAAGUAGGUUAGCCUAUCUUCAUCUUCGAGAAGUGAAGUAAAUCUUAUCAUUUAGAGGAAGGAGAAGUCGUAACA
RNAcentral lists this ribosomal RNA (329 nucleotides) under uncultured eukaryote. Its description in RNAcentral is "partial 18S ribosomal RNA". It matches the Rfam family "Eukaryotic small subunit ribosomal RNA", at positions 1470 to 1796 of the family's 1831-position model. The record is from RNAcentral.